Long non-coding RNA from Heterocephalus glaber (naked mole-rat), 520 nucleotides. The record is from Ensembl. Lineage: Eukaryota; Metazoa; Chordata; Mammalia; Rodentia; Bathyergidae.
CCUGCUUCCAUCUGGUGAAAUGAUUGCCUUGAGGAGUCCACGUGGUACACUGAAGUGAGAUAAUUCCUUUCCAGAACUGGAGUAAUGUCAAGAGAAUUCUGUGGACUUUGAAUCCUCAGGCUCUCCAGAAAACAGAUGGCCAUUGUAGACUCUCCUACCUCUGACUUAUCCAUCGUGAUGGACACAAGGGCACAGCUUCCUGCUUCUCUCAUUCUUGGGCCUGGGAUGAUGAUGCAAUAAUCAUCAUCUGAAACAUUUCAAGCUGGAUGUUAGAGCAAAAGAGCAUAUGGCACGGAUGUAUUCAUUCUGAAAGCUUCAUUCUAUUGAUGGGUACUAUUUCAUGUGGAGGACCACUUCCAAUGUAGGCAAAUGAAGAAAAGUUUUCUACAUCAAUUUUAAUGGCCCCAUUGAGGAAGCAAAGAAAUACAUUAUUUUUCUUUGUUAUUGAAAAUAGAAAUGCCUGAGGGAAGACGGUGGGGCUAUGGCUUCCUGCUGACAGAGCAGGCAGAGUGGUUGUGGG